Molecule: ribosomal RNA, 328 nt
Filed under: uncultured eukaryote
Lineage: Eukaryota
Description: partial 18S ribosomal RNA
Rfam family: Eukaryotic small subunit ribosomal RNA
Source: RNAcentral
CCCUUAGAUGUUCUGGGCUGCACGCGCGCUACACUGAAGCGUUCAACGAGUAUUCACCUUGCCCGGGAGGGUUGGGUAAUCUUUUGAAAACGCUUCGUGAUGGGGAUAGAUGAUUGCAAUUAUUCAUCUUCAACGAGGAAUUCCUAGUAAACGCAAGUCAUCAGCUUGCAUUGAUUACGUCCCUGCCCUUUGUACACACCGCCCGUCGCACCUACCGAUUGAAUGGUCCGGUGAAAUCUUCGGAUCUGAGAGAUGUCUGAUUAAUUUCGGACGCCUUUUGGAAAAGUUGUUUAAACCUUACCAUUUAGAGGAAGGUGAAGUCGUAACA